Sinocyclocheilus grahami is the source of this 336-nucleotide long non-coding RNA. RefSeq lists it as uncharacterized. NCBI's taxonomy places the organism in Eukaryota, Metazoa, Chordata, Actinopteri, Cypriniformes, Cyprinidae. The transcript is spliced from 4 exons. The record is from RefSeq and is a predicted model, not a curated record.
AAGAUUCCCGGGACCAUAGAUGUGAUUGGCGGACAGACUGCCUCCAUUAGCAGGGUGGAAGGACGACGUCGCCACAAUCUGGAGGGGAAUAACAUCCAGGUGAUCUCGGAACAUCCCAGCUCUGAGGCUGAACCCGCCAAGAUGCCUCCUCCUUUCUUUCCCCCGGGACCGCUGCCUCCAAACAUCCCACCUCCUCCAUUCCUCCCUCCUCCUGUCAGUCAGGCUCCACCUCUGAUCCCACCUCCACGGAUGCCCAUCACCAUUCCUCCACCCAAUUUUCCCCCUCCUACUGGAGGACCUCCUCCUUCACUUAUCCCUACUAUGGACAAGUAGGCA